CCUGGCUCAGGAUGAACGCUGGCGGCGUGCUUAACACAUGCAAGUCGAACGAACCUUCGGGUUAGUGGCGGACGGGUGAGUAACGCGUGAGAAUCUGCCCUCAGGAGGGGGACAACAGCUGGAAACGGCUGCUAAUACCCCAUAUGCCGCGAGGUGAAAUGAAUUUCGCCUGAGGAUGAGCUCGCGUCUGAUUAGCUAGUUGGUGUAGGUAAUGGCUCACCAAGGCAUCGAUCAGUAGCUGGUCUGAGAGGAUGAUCAGCCACACUGGGACUGAGACACGGCCCAGACUCCUACGGGAGGCAGCAGUGGGGAAUUUUCCGCAAUGGGCGAAAGCCUGACGGAGCAACGCCGCGUGAGGGAUGAAGGCCUCUGGGCUGUAAACCUCUUUUAUCAAGGAAGAAGAUCUGACGGUACUUGAUGAAUAAGCCACGGCUAAUUCCGUGCCAGCAGCCGCGGUAAUACGGGAGUGGCAAGCGUUAUCCGGAAUUAUUGGGCGUAAAGCGUCCGCAGGCGGCCCUUCAAGUCUGCUGUUAAAAAGUGGAGCUUAACUCCAUCAUGGCAGUGGAAACUGUUGGGCUUGAGUGUGGUAGGGGCAGAGGGAAUUCCCGGUGUAGCGGUGAAAUGCGUAGAUAUCGGGAAGAACACCAGUGGCGAAGGCGCUCUGCUGGGCCAUCACUGACGCUCAUGGACGAAAGCCAGGGGAGCGAAAGGGAUUAGAUACCCCUGUAGUCCUGGCCGUAAACGAUGAACACUAGGUGUCGGGGGAAUCGACCCCCUCGGUGUCGUAGCCAACGCGUUAAGUGUUCCGCCUGGGGAGUACGCACGCAAGUGUGAAACUCAAAGGAAUUGACGGGGGCCCGCACAAGCGGUGGAGUAUGUGGUUUAAUUCGAUGCAACGCGAAGAACCUUACCAGGGUUUGACAUCCUGCGAAUCUCUUGGAAACAGGAGAGUGCCUUCGGGAACGCAGUGACAGGUGGUGCAUGGCUGUCGUCAGCUCGUGUCGUGAGACGUUGGGUUAAGUCCCGCAACGAGCGCAACCCACGUCUUUAGUUGCCAGCAUUUAGUUGGGCACUCUAGAGAGACUGCCGGUGAUAAACCGGAGGAAGGUGUGGAUGACGUCAAGUCAUCAUGCCCCUUACAUCCUGGGCUACACACGUACUACAAUGCUACGGACAAAGGGCAGCAAGUUCGCGAGGACAAGCAAAUCCCAUAAACCGUGGCUCAGUUCAGAUCGUAGGCUGCAACUCGCCUACGUGAAGGCGGAAUCGCUAGUAAUCGCAGGUCAGCAUACUGCGGUGAAUACGUUCCCGGGCCUUGUACACACCGCCCGUCACACCAUGGAAGUUGGCCACGCCCGAAGCCGUUACUCCAACCCUUGUGGAGGAGGACGUCGAAGGUGGGGCUGAUGACUGGGGUGAAGUCG
RNAcentral lists this ribosomal RNA (1424 nucleotides) under Synechococcus sp. WH 8012. Its description in RNAcentral is "bacterial SSU rRNA". It matches the Rfam family "Bacterial small subunit ribosomal RNA". The record is from RNAcentral. Lineage: Bacteria; Bacillati; Cyanobacteriota; Cyanophyceae; Synechococcales; Synechococcaceae.